CAAUAGCGUAUAUUUAAGUUGUUGCAGUUAAAAAGCUCGUAGUUGGAUUUCGGGUUGGCUUCAGCGGUCUCGCUUUGCGUUUGUACUGCUGCAGCCUACCUUCUUGUCGGGGACGGGCCUUCGGGCUUAAUUGCUUGGGGCCCGGAGUCGACGAUGUUACUUUGAGUAAAUUAGAGUGUUCAAAGCAAGCCUACGCUCUGAAUAUAAUAGCAUGGGAUAACACGACAGGACCCUGGCCAAUCGUGUUGGUCUGUAGGACCAGAGUAAUGAUUAAGAGGGACAGUCGGGGGCAUUCGUAUUCCGUUGUCAGAGGUGAAAUUCUUGGAUUUACGGAAGACGAACAUCUGCGAAAGCAUUUGCCAAGGAUGUUUUCAUUGA
This 378-nucleotide ribosomal RNA is filed under the name uncultured eukaryote. Its description in RNAcentral is "partial 18S ribosomal RNA". It matches the Rfam family "Eukaryotic small subunit ribosomal RNA", at positions 592 to 976 of the family's 1831-position model. The record is from RNAcentral.